Molecule: long non-coding RNA, 89 nt
Organism: Sinocyclocheilus grahami
Lineage: Eukaryota; Metazoa; Chordata; Actinopteri; Cypriniformes; Cyprinidae
Exons: 3
Source: RefSeq, a predicted model, not a curated record
CAUUCUAAUAUGCUGCUUUGGUGCUCAAGAAACAUUUUAGUAGUAUUAUCAGUGCUGAACACAGAUAACCUGAUUAAUAUUUUUUUCCA